Molecule: long non-coding RNA, 740 nt
Filed under: Fukomys damarensis (Damara mole-rat)
Lineage: Eukaryota; Metazoa; Chordata; Mammalia; Rodentia; Bathyergidae
Description: lncRNA (ENSFDAG00000033157.1)
Source: RNAcentral
CAUCGCUGCUUGGAGUAUGCCAGAUGGCGCAUACUCCAUAGCUGGAAGGUCACAGCCUGAGCGGGACCUGAAUGUCCCUGGCUCCCACGGGAAGAAGGUUUCCUGGAGCCCAGCACAGCUCUCGGAGGCCGGUGGUGAUGCGCCAGUCAGCAACGCUCCUCUCCUCCUCUCCUUUCUCUGACUUGUGCUCCUGAUGCCACCUGGACCCUGUGAGGGAGGGGCGGCCCGAGUUCAAGGUCCCUGCAGGUAAACAACAGUGCGAAGCUCACAGUGGUCCUCCGCCAUCCCCAUCAACCACGCCUGGAGGAGACAGGACUGCAGCGUGGCUGGAGAGAAAAGGAACAGAGGAGUGGAGCUGCUCCUGCCAGUGUUCCCAGAAGAGGAUGUGUCAUGGGGAGGAUGGAGCCGCAGACUUGGGGAGCAGGGUGAGGACAGCCUUGACACCCCACAGCCCACCUUCCAGAAGACACGAGAACCUUCAGGGUCAGUGCUCACCAGCACGCCACCCCCGGAAAGUCUGGAAUCCUGUCAGAAGAGAAAAGUUCAUUAUCUCACAAGUGGGCCCUUUCCAGGUGCCGCCCCCUGGGGACAGAGGCGCAUGUGUUCACUGUCACAGUAAACUUUCUCCUUUCAUGUCAAAAUUGAUUCCCCAAACUCAUCAGAGCUCAUUACCUUCACUUUUGUAGGAUUAGCAGUACCAGGCCACCCCUCAAAACCUGUCAUACUAUAUUCAGAGCAAG